This 492-nucleotide ribosomal RNA is filed under the name uncultured bacterium. RNAcentral's name for it is "partial 16S ribosomal RNA". It matches the Rfam family "Bacterial small subunit ribosomal RNA", at positions 29 to 507 of the family's 1533-position model. The record is from RNAcentral.
AGUGAACGCUGGCGGUAGGCCUAACACAUGCAAGUCGAGCGGCAGCACAGUAAGAGCUUGCUCUUACGGGUGGCGAGUGGCGGACGGGUGAGGAAUACAUCGGAAUCUACUUUUUCGUGGGGGAUAACGUAGGGAAACUUACGCUAAUACCGCAUACAACCUACGGGUGAAAGCAGGGGAUCUUCGGACCUUGCGCGAUUGAAUGAGCCGAUGUCGGAUUAGCUAGUUGGCGGGGUAAAGGCCCACCAAGGCGACGAUCCGUAGCUGGUCUGAGAGGAUGAUCAGCCACACUGGAACUGAGACACGGUCCAGACUCCUACGGGAGGCAGCAGUGGGGAAUAUUGGACAAUGGGCGCAAGCCUGAUCCAGCCAUACCGCGUGGGUGAAGAAGGCCUUCGGGUUGUAAAGCCCUUUUGUUGGGAAAGAAAAGCAGCAGGUUAAUACCCCGCUGUUCUGACGGUACCCAAAGAAUAAGCACCGGCUAACUUCGUG